AUGCUCCUUGCUCUUGUUCAUGUUGUCCAAAUGCUCAAUGUCGAUACUGAACAUGGCAUCGACGAACCACCAACUGGUGAUCUCCUCGAGCUCGGUCGUGACAAGCUCGUUCUCCUGGAGGAUCUCCGUCCACACCGCCUCCUUCCCGGCCAUGGCGUCAGCGAGGGAGAACCGGCUGUCCUCCCCCUCGUACCCUGCCCACUCCACCCCGAAGCGCUCAGCCAGCAUCGGCCAGAGCUGCUUCCACUUGAACACAUCCCCAUUGCUGCAAUUGAAAGCCUCGUUCUUGGCGAACGGGUCGACGGCCGCCCAGAUCUCGUGCUCGGCGACGAGGUCGGCGUCCGAGGCGUCGGUGAAGCCCUCCCAUGCGACCUUGCAGCCGGGCCACCGCAGCGUGGUACCCUCCUUGCGGCAGAUGGCGGCGUAGACACACAGGCUGCCCAUGACGUUCAUGGCGCUGCGGGGGGAGAAGCCGAAGAUGACGGUGGGGCGGUGCACGGACCAGGUGACGGCGCCGUCGCGGCCGGAGACGUGGUGGAAGAGCACGUCCUCCAGGUCGUAGUAGAAGUUGGGGUGGUCGAGCCGGGGCGUGUCCUCGGUGUAGGGCGGGUCGGGGGCGGGGAUCUUGCCGAUGGCCUCGAACGGCCCCACAUAGUGCUUGCGGCCGGUCUGGAGGCAGACGUGGGCGAGCGCGGGGCAGCCGGGCACGACGACGGAGAGCACGUUGCGGAGCAUGCCGGCGUUGACCUCCCGGUUGCGGUCCUCGGUCUCGUGGCUGGACCACGCGGCGUAGAAGACGUGGGUGACGUCGGUGAGCGGCGCCAGGGCGUCCCUGACGGCGGCGGCGUCGGCGAGGUCGAGCUGCAGGUGCGUGACGGCGGGGGACGGCGGCGGCGUCGACCAGCCCGGCGGCGCGCGGCGCGAGACGGCGUACACCUUCCAGGGCCCGCCCGGGGUGUCGUCGCGCGGGAGGAUGUCGAGGAGGGAGGUGCCGACGAUCCCCGUGGAGCCGAGGAUGAGCGCCACGCUCUGGAAGGUGGGCUCCGCCGCCGCCGCCCGCUCGUCCUGCCGCUUCUUGACCGCGCCCACCGCGCCCGCCCACCACCAGCUCAUCGCGGGUCUGGGGAGAGGGGGGCUCGGUCGGGCGGGGUGUGGUGCUGGGGGGCGGAGAGCGGAGGUGGCCGGCGGUGGCGUGGAGAUCGGGCGGUGGGGGGAGCGCCGGCUGGAUCUGGGGAUAAUGGGGGGAGAGUGGAGUUGUUGGGGUGCCUGCCUGCCUGCUUCCGUGUGCGUUGCGUGGCGAUCUGGGGCUGUCGUUUGGCUUGUUUGUUGUCAACGAGCGCUGGACGGUGGGGAACGAUCGGCAAGGAGGAGAUCGUUGUCGAGUGUCGUGGCCCGGUGGACGGUCGAGGAGCCGCGCGUCGUCGCCUUGGUCUGUAG
This 1437-nucleotide ribosomal RNA is filed under the name Triticum aestivum (bread wheat). RNAcentral's name for it is "partial small subunit ribosomal RNA". Lineage: Eukaryota; Viridiplantae; Streptophyta; Magnoliopsida; Poales; Poaceae. The record is from RNAcentral.